RNAcentral lists this non-coding RNA (302 nucleotides) under Caloramator quimbayensis. RNAcentral describes it as "T-box sequence". It matches the Rfam family "T-box leader". From Rfam's summary of the family: Uncharged tRNA acts as the effector for transcription antitermination of genes in the T-box leader family. T-boxes are found upstream of many aminoacyl-tRNA synthetase genes and some amino acid biosynthetic genes usually in Gram-positive bacteria. The anticodon of a specific tRNA base pairs to a specifier sequence within the T-box motif, and the NCCA acceptor tail of the tRNA base pairs to a conserved bulge in the T-box antiterminator hairpin. The record is from RNAcentral. Lineage: Bacteria; Bacillati; Bacillota; Clostridia; Eubacteriales; Clostridiaceae.
AAAAAGGCUGAGAUGGAGACAAAGAUACCUUUAAUUGAACUUCAGAGAGCUAACGUUUGGUGAAAGUUAGUGUUCAAUGGGUAUGUAAUGAUCACUCCGGAGCUGCCAAGUCGAAAGCUUUAAUGUGAGUAGAUGAGGACGGGAGCUACCGAUAUAUAGCUAUAUGGUUAUGAUUGAUUAUUGCACUUUGCAAUAAGAUAUUCCGACCUGAUUUAACGAGGCGAAUAAGUAUAUCUAAUUUUAGGAUAUAUUUAUUCGUAAAGAUGGGUGGUACCACGGAGGAUAAGUCCUUCGUCCCAAUG